CAUAUAAAGGCUUUUUUUUUUUCCUCUCUUGGGAGUCCUUUUGUUAGAGUUUUUGUAGAGAUUUAUUUUGGUAACGGAGAGGGGUCAUUUUCAAGGAUCUAUUUUGGUACAAUUUGGAGAGUUAAAUUUCUCAGUUUGCGUGCUUUGGCUUCUCUAUGGUUGAAGCAUUAGCCUUCAAAGUGGAUUUUCAUUCAAUUAAAGGCAAACUUGUUUCUUCUCUCUCAAGCUUUUCAUCACAUUUCUGGUCCUGACCCAGUUUCUGAUUUUGGAAGUUGAAAAGGUUUGGCUAUCUGGGCAGCAACUUUUUGUGAAGAAAUUAUGUGAUGAGCUGUUUCAAGGCUUUUGUUAAAGGAGGUAAAGAAGAAAAGAAGGUUUGAAUUUCUGAUGCCUUAACAUCCAAGGAAAGGCUUGGUGCCGUGAACUUCACUCUGCUUGAAAGCUUGGGAUUUUGGAAUUGGAAUCUCUUGACUCCUGUACUAGAUUAUCCUAACAGCAUUGUGAGUUCAAGGCAUAAGGAAUUUAGCUCUAUCCCAGCUCAGAUUAGUAAGGAACACUUUUUUUUUUUUUUUUUUUUAUAAAAAGAACC
Long non-coding RNA from Morus notabilis, 586 nucleotides. RefSeq lists it as uncharacterized. The record is from RefSeq and is a predicted model, not a curated record. The transcript has 3 exons. Lineage: Eukaryota; Viridiplantae; Streptophyta; Magnoliopsida; Rosales; Moraceae.